CUACGGGGUGCUCCAGUGAGGAAUAUUGCACAAUGGGGGGAACCCUGAUGCAGCAACGCCGCGUGGAGGAUGACGCAUUUCGGUGUGUAAACUCCUUUUAUAUGUCAAGAAAAUGACGGUAGCAUAUGAAUAAGCACCGGCUAACUCCGUGCCAGCAGCCGCGGUAAUACGGAGGGUGCAAGCGUUACUCGGAAUCACUGGGCGUAAAGGACGCGUAGGCGGGUUGGAAAGUCAGGUGUGAAAUCCUACAGCUUAACUGUAGAACUGCACUUGAAACUUCUAAUCUAGAGUAUGGGAGGGGGAGAUGGAAUUAGUGGUGUAGGGGUAAAAUCCGUAGAUAUCACUAGGAAUACCUAAAGCGAAGGCGAUCUCCUGGAACAUUACUGACGCUAAGGCGUGAAAGCGUGGGGAGCAAACAGGAUUAGAUACCCGAGUAGUC
Molecule: ribosomal RNA, 439 nt
Filed under: uncultured bacterium
Lineage: Bacteria
Description: partial 16S ribosomal RNA
Rfam family: Bacterial small subunit ribosomal RNA
Source: RNAcentral